GCGCCGCUCUCGUGCCAGCACCGUGUGUCCCGUCGCGCAGCGUACCAGCGUACAGCAGCAGCACAGCCCGAGCCCGGAAACAUGCUCCAAGCAACCACGCGACCGGACCUUACCGCGCGGAAUUAGUAUACGAGUACUACAAUUCGAUUUCAAUCUCGGCGCGCGCGCGAGUUCCCUAUUGAUAUAUAGAUAGAUAUAUAUUAUUAAAUCGUGACUUUGUACCCAGUGUGUCCUGUGGAUUACCGCUAGCAGCACGGAGAAAUAAUUUUGGUGGUGUCGCCAGCAACCCGCCGGCGUCUCCACGCGCCGCCACCACCACCACCACCACCGCCGCCAGAGUUUGGUUUAUCCUUUUUUCUCGAUCUACGCUGUCCCACGCCAAGCCAACACGCUGGAACAUUUACGGCCCAUCGUGGCGUCGAUCAACACCCUCAACUCUACGUCUGAUACUAUGGAGGCAACCUAUUGCGUCGGCAGUGAUGUAGAUGUUUGCAGGAUGUUUGAUCAGUAUUUAUACAAGGUAUGUUGCAUUCCUGCGUCGAAUUCAAUUUAGAAAACCUAUCUAUAGUUGUGGACGUGACUGCGGUCAGCGGAGCGAAAACGUUGACCUCUCGCUGAGCAUUCCGAAUUCGAAUUUCCCGCACAACGGAUACAACAUGGGCGAUCAGACGUUUCACACGCCUAGUUUUGGCGAUGAAGAGUUUGAUAUACCAGCGAUCAACCCUCAGCAGCAACAGCAACAACACGGCAUGUAUCAACCGCCGAUGAGUAUGUCACUCAGCCAUCAACAGCAGGAUGCGUUGGGUAUGCAUGAUCCCACCGGGGGAUACCAGCAGCCGUUGUACCUUUCGGGGCCUGAUCAUGGCAUGGUCAAUGCGUCGUACCACAGUCCCCAGGCUAACUACAGUCACAGCCUCAGUCCCAGCCAGCAACAACAGCAGCAGCAGCAGCAGCAGCAACAACAGCAACAGCAACAACAUCAACAACAGCAUAAUACUCAGCUGUUGAUGAUCCAACAACAGCAGCAGGCGGCGGCAGCGCACCAGCAGCAACAACACCAUCAACAGAUGAUGAUGGGACAUCCACAACAACCACCCGGUGGACAUGCGUAUGGUACAUCACCGCAGCAUCCGCAGGGACGCGGCACCACCAGCCCGCCGGCCGGCCCCGGUCAGGAGCCCACCACCAGCGAGGAUAGCGAUGACAGCACGCCGCAUCCGGCAAUGUUGACCGGCGGCAUGAAGCGACCGUCGCCCGAACCCGCCGAAUCGAUAGCCAAAGUCCAGAAGAAACCCAAAGUGCAAAAGAAGAAGAAGAAGCGGGAUCCGAACGAGCCACAAAAGCCGGUGUCCGCGUACGCGCUGUUUUUCCGUGAUACUCAAGCCGCCAUAAAAGGACAGAAUCCGAAUGCUAGUUUCGGCGAGGUGUCCAAGAUUGUCGCAUCCAUGUGGGAUGCGCUCGACUCCGAGCAUAAGAACGUAUACAAGAAGAAGACAGAGGCGGCAAAGAAGGAGUAUCUGAAGGCACUGGCAGCAUACAGAGCCAGUCUGGUGUCAAAGGGAGCUGGUGAGGGUGCCGAAGGUGGCAUGUACACCGGCUACACCAACUACGGCAACCAGCCGGCGCCACAGUAUGGAGGAUAUUCACCACAGAACGCGCUACCGUCACCACCGACGCCUCCAAGCCAACCGUCGCCAAUGUCAAAGAAGCCGCCACCGAUGAUGCCCAGCCAGCCGCACGCGCCUAUGUUGCAGCCGAUGCCCGGACACAUGAGCAUGCCGCCGCACAUGCAACCGCCGCCACAUAGUAAUAAUUACAUGCAACAGCAGUAUUUCGUGUUAGGCUCCCCAGCAACAAGCAGUCCAGCACCAGCUUAUGCAGCCACGACGUGUCAGUCCCCAGCCAAUGGCUUCAAGCAGCCCGCCGGUCUCGGCACCUGCACCUACAGUGCCCACAUCCGUGCCACAGCAGUCGCAGAUGCGACCUGCUAACUCGUGCAUUCGCCAUGGCUGCCCCAACCUUGCUAUUUCCAAUCAGGAAUGGGAGGAUGAAUACUGCAGUAAUGAAUGCGUAGUUAGCCAUUGCAGGGACGUAUUCUCUACGUGGGUGGCAUCCAAUCCAAACCAAUCGCAAAACUUUUCGACGGUGAAAUAGCUAUCGAUCGGAUCGCGGACCGUCGCGGCGCCAUGGCUGGAGGGAGGGAGGACUUUUGUAUAUUCUCUAUCACAGAAGAAUGAACUGUAGCAAUAUUGAUAAUAGUUUUAAUACACACCUAGGGUAACACACAAUGGACGCGAUAAUCGGAUGCGAUAGACGGCACACAAUGUUUAUAUGUCGGCGAAGGAGGCGGUAUGAGGGCGAGAGAGAGUGUCUGACGAUGAUAUUGUACAUACUUUAGCCGGGGUGGGCGAGGCGGAAGCGCGCCGCAUUGUGUGCGCGGCGCGCUUUCACAACUAGACAUACAAACUGACACAACUGUACCCAACCUUUGAUUAGGCGUAUAACGAUGUAUUAUAUACAGACAUACUUUGUUAAGCAUGCUAUUGUACAAGCGUGCGUCCUCGAAAUGUAAGUGACGAUGAAGGUAAUCUAAGUUAGGUAGAAUAUAUCCAAAAUUAAACUGAGCAUAGGAUUACGGAUACCUAGAGUUAUACACAACCAGCGCGUUGUGGACGAUGCAUCAAAAUAUUUGUAAAUGAUAAAAUGUUGUUAAUCAGAAUGGGCAAGUCCUGUAAAAUAUAAGUAACUAGUACGGCAUCGCGGACAACAGGGAGGGGACUCGCUUGAGGAAUGAUUUGCAGUACAAUUUUUGAUCUUAUUUAAAAGUCUCGUUUCUAGUUUCGUUCGUGACGGUCGCGUCGUGUUCUCUGUGAUGUCGUAGGUCGGAUAGUGAUUAGGGUGUACAAUUAUUUUUAUAUCAUUGACCAAUGACGUUACGCUUGUUUGUCGAUGUAUAUAAAGACCUCUUUGCAGUUGUUAAUUUUAUUGUUAUCGAUGUCGAGCAUUCGGCUCGCGUGCUAGCGCGCGCGCGCGCGCAUCCCCUAGUAUUAAAAAUACCCAGCGGUGAAGGAUGUAUAUUUGUGAAUAUGUUGAUUUGUUGGUAGCCAAAUUGUUUAAAACAGUGCAUAUUCGUUGUUUGCAUGCAAUCGGCGAGCAGCGGGCCGGACGCUAGACGCAUUGAUUUUCUUUCUACUGUCUUGAACAGUUUGGUAAAUGUGAGAUAAUAAAUACAAUGUACAUUUCAUGAAGAAAUACAAAAUCUUGAGCGCUGGUCUACUGAGCGCCAGCGCAUACACUAGAUAAGAUAUAUUAAUUAUCAUAACUAUAAAAUAUCAUAAUUUGUUUUUAUUUGUAAUUUUAUUUCGUGUCCAAUUGGAUUUGCGGCCGCAGGCCGCUCGAUUCCGUCGUCGAUCGUUGAUUAUCUCGAUGGAAUGACGAUCAUUAUCUUCGAUGAGCUUUAAAAUUGUUGAGUACAAUUUUCGUUUCAUUACAUUGUAAAUAUCAUAUAUUUUAUCUUGACAUGAUGCACACUACCUAUACUAUGUAACCAAUUAAUAUUUAAAAAUAAAUAAAAAUAGAUUCUAAUUGAAAGAAACCAAA
Molecule: RNA transcript, 3600 nt
Organism: Dalotia coriaria
Lineage: Eukaryota; Metazoa; Arthropoda; Insecta; Coleoptera; Staphylinidae
Gene name: TOX high mobility group box family member 4-like
Exons: 8
Source: RefSeq, a predicted model, not a curated record